RNAcentral lists this long non-coding RNA (665 nucleotides) under Triticum aestivum (bread wheat). Its description in RNAcentral is "long non-coding RNA (TAES_LNC011494)". Lineage: Eukaryota; Viridiplantae; Streptophyta; Magnoliopsida; Poales; Poaceae. The record is from RNAcentral.
UUGAAUGUUACGACUGAACGAGUUUUCCACUAAGCUACUUGUGCAUGUGCAAAUUUGGAACAAAGCUCAAUCGAAAGUUGUGCAUGCACAGAAUUCUAAACCGUAAUUAAAAAGAAUGGCAAUUGUUACUCAUAACUGAACCUGAACCUGAACUACUAGUAAUAACUAACCACUGAACACUUGACAAUAAUGACACUCACAGUGUUUUGACCUUGAUAUACUAAAACAAUGUACUGAACAAAUCGAAACAAGAUUAGUUAUUCACAUUCGGAUGUACCUGGUUUCCCCCAUCAGAUCAGUGACGAACUUCUGGAAUAAAACCAAACGGUGGACUCCCAUGGAACCGAAAUAGCAUCGACUGAAUCAUACACCGGGCCAGGACCGUCGAGAAAUCGAUUUUGCAGGUAGAAAUCGACUGAAUCAUAGCGACGCACAGAGAGGUAGCUGCAAAAUCAGCGCGACGCAUAAAACCGGUGACGACCGAGAAGAAGAAGACAAGGGGCUGAGAGCAGGGGGGAGGGGAGAAGCUCGCCGUACAGGUCUCGCAGCCAGCGACGACCUGGGGUUUCUCGCCCUCGCGGACCACCGCUCGCUGGUGGCGCGCCCGAUGGGACAGCCCCGUUGGCGUCCUCUCCAUCUCCUUCCUCCCGCUACUUGCCGACUCC